AGCUGAAAGGUUUCUAAUAGCAGCCACAGCACACCUGAUGGAACUAAGAGGCACACAGUAUGUGCUUGCUUUCCGGAGGGAGUGCUGGUUUUUAUCUUUAACAGCACACACAUUCUAGGAGAGUGGUGUGACAUGAGACUUGGUGUGACUAUGAGACUUGGUGUGACUAUGAGACUUGGUGUGAUAUGAGACUUGGUGUGACUAUGAGACUUGGUGUGACUAUGAGACUUGGUGUGAUUAUGAGACUUGGUGUGACUAUGAGACUUGGUAAGGAUGUGGGAGCUGCUCAUUAGCUUUGGUGUGGG
RNAcentral lists this long non-coding RNA (305 nucleotides) under Mus musculus (house mouse). Its description in RNAcentral is "ilncRNA-EC58". The record is from RNAcentral. Lineage: Eukaryota; Metazoa; Chordata; Mammalia; Rodentia; Muridae.